UGGGGAAUUUUGGGCAAUGGGCGCAAGCCUGACCCAGCCAUGCCGCGUGAGUGAUGAAGGCCCUCGGGUCGUAAAGCUCUGUGGGGAGGGACGAAAGGACCCAGGAUAAUACCCUGGGAAGUUGACGGUACCUCCUUAGCAAGCACCGGCUAACUCCGUGCCAGCAGCCGCGGUAAUACGGAGGGUGCAAACGUUGCUCGGAAUUAUUGGGCGUAAAGCGUACGUAGGCGGUCUUUCAAGUCGGAUGUGAAAGCCCUCGGCUCAACCGGGGAAGUGCACUCGAAACUGGAAGGCUUGAGUACGGAAGAGGGUCUCGGAAUUCCCGGUGUAGAGGUGAAAUUCGUAGAUAUCGGGAGGAACACCAGUGGCGAAGGCGGAGACCUGGGCCGAUACUGACGCUGAGGUACGAAAGCGUGGGGAGCAAACAGGAUUAGAUACCCCUGUAGUCC
Molecule: ribosomal RNA, 449 nt
Filed under: uncultured prokaryote
Description: bacterial SSU rRNA
Rfam family: Bacterial small subunit ribosomal RNA
Source: RNAcentral